UUAGGCCGGGAACUCAAAGGAGACUGCCAGUGAUAAACUGGAGGAAGGUGGGGAUGACGUCAAGUCAUCAUGGCCCUUACGACCAGGGCUACACACGUGCUACAAUGGCGCAUACAAAGAGAAGCGACCUCGCGAGAGCAAGCGGACCUCAUAAAGUGCGUCGUAGUCCGGAUUGGAGUCUGCAACUCGACUCCAUGAAGUCGGAAUCGCUAGUAAUCGUGGAUCAGAAUGCCACGGUGAAUACGUUCCCGGGCCUUGUACACACCGCCCGUCACACCAUGGGAGUGGGUUGCAAAAGAAGUAGGUAGCUUAACCUUCGGGAGGGCGCUUACCACUUUGUGAUUCAUGACUGGGGUGAAGUCGUAACAAGGUAACCGUAGGGGAACCUGCGGUUGGAUCACCUCCUUA
RNAcentral lists this ribosomal RNA (408 nucleotides) under Salmonella enterica. Its description in RNAcentral is "bacterial SSU rRNA". It matches the Rfam family "Bacterial small subunit ribosomal RNA", at positions 1126 to 1533 of the family's 1533-position model. The record is from RNAcentral. RNAcentral also lists the same sequence under 11 other names. Lineage: Bacteria; Pseudomonadati; Pseudomonadota; Gammaproteobacteria; Enterobacterales; Enterobacteriaceae.